AUGAACGCUAGCUACAGGCUUAACACAUGCAAGUCGAGGGGCAGCAUGAAUCAAGCUUGCUUGAUUGAUGGCGACCGGCGCACGGGUGCGUAACACGUAUCCAAUCUACCCAUGGCUCAGGGAUAGCCUUUCGAAAGAAAGAUUAAUACCUGAUGGUUUCAUGAGCCCGCAUGGACUUAUGAAUAAAGAUUUAUCGGCGAUGGAUGAGGAUGCGUCCGAUUAGAUAGUAGGCGGGGUAACGGCCCACCUAGUCGACGAUCGGUAGGGGCUCUGAGAGGAGGAUCCCCCACAUUGGAACUGAGACACGGUCCAAACUCCUACGGGAGGCAGCAGUGAGGAAUAUUGGUCAAUGGGCGAGAGCCUGAACCAGCCAAGUAGCGUGAAGGGAUGACUGCCCUAUGGGUUGUAAACCUCUUUUGUUUGGGAAUAAAGUGAGCCACGUGUGGCUUUUUGUAUGUACCUUACGAAUAAGCAUCGGCUAAUUCCGUGCCAGCAGCGGC
This 500-nucleotide ribosomal RNA is filed under the name uncultured bacterium. RNAcentral's name for it is "bacterial SSU rRNA". It matches the Rfam family "Bacterial small subunit ribosomal RNA", at positions 29 to 518 of the family's 1533-position model. The record is from RNAcentral.